GAUGAAGAACGCAGCGAAAUGCGAUAAGUAAUGUGAAUUGCAGAAUUCAGUGAAUCAUCGAAUCUUUGAACGCACAUUGCGCCCGCCAGUAUUCUGGCGGGCAUGCCUGUUCGAGCGUCAUUACAACCCUCAGGCCCCCGGGCCUGGCGUUGGGGAUCGGCGGAGCCCCCCGUGGGCACACGCCGUCCCCCAAAUGCAGUGGCGGUCCCGCCGCAGCUUCCAUCGCGUAGUAGCUAACACCUCGCGACUUGAGAGCGGCGCGGCCACGCCGUAAAACACCCAACUCUUCUGAAGUUGACCUCGAAUCAGGUAGGAAUACCCGCUGAACUUAAGCAUAUCAAUAAGCGGAGGA
RNAcentral lists this unclassified non-coding RNA (352 nucleotides) under soil metagenome. Its description in RNAcentral is "partial contains 5.8S ribosomal RNA, internal transcribed spacer 2, and large subunit ribosomal RNA". The stretch from base 1 to 120 matches the Rfam family "5.8S ribosomal RNA", at positions 35 to 154 of the family's 154-position model. The record is from RNAcentral.